GACGGGCCCGCACAAGCAGCGGAGCGUGUGGUUUAAUUCGUUGCUACACGAAGAACCUUACCUGGGUUUGACAUAAUGGUGGUAGGGAUCCGAAAGGUGACCGACCUUCGGGGAGCCAUUUACAGGUGUUGCAUGGCUGUCGUCAGCUCGUGUCGUGAGAUGUUCGGUUAAGUCCGCUAACGAGCGCAACCCUCGCUGUGUGUUAUAUGUGUCACACAGGACUGCUGGUAUUAAGCCGGAGGAAGGUGGGACGACGUCAAGUCAGCAUGACCUUUAUAUCCAGGGCUACACACACGCUACAAUGGUCAGUACAAUGGGUUGCCAAGCCGCGAGGCGGAGCCAAUCCUAAAAAGCUGGCCUCAGUUCAGAUUGCAGUCUGAAACUCGACUGCAUGAAGUCGGAGUUGCUAGUAAACGCAGGUCAGCUAUACUGCGUUGAAUACGUUCCCGGGGCUU
This 455-nucleotide ribosomal RNA is filed under the name uncultured Anaerolineaceae bacterium. RNAcentral describes it as "bacterial SSU rRNA". It matches the Rfam family "Bacterial small subunit ribosomal RNA", at positions 917 to 1381 of the family's 1533-position model. Lineage: Bacteria; Bacillati; Chloroflexota; Anaerolineae; Anaerolineales; Anaerolineaceae. The record is from RNAcentral.